This 413-nucleotide long non-coding RNA is filed under the name Carica papaya (papaya). RNAcentral's name for it is "long non-coding RNA (CPAP_LNC000092)". The record is from RNAcentral. Lineage: Eukaryota; Viridiplantae; Streptophyta; Magnoliopsida; Brassicales; Caricaceae.
GCGUAUGUGUAUGUUUUUAAAUAAAGUAAUAAUGAAUAAAUAUAUCUUCUAUACGAGAUAAUUUAGUAAAUUUUGAAUUUAGAUUUUCAUAUUGUCGGAUUAUUGCCACUAAAAAUGCACGAGCUGCUACAAAGUUUGAUCUCCUGAGGGUUACAUAAGAAGCAAUUACAUGUUUCAGUCCCUUUUUUCUCUUGUAGUGGAUCCAGUUCAUAUUAAAUACGAGACGAGACGAGACGAGACGAGACUCCAUCCAUUUUUCCCUUUUUUAUGAAUUCGUCAAUCACCCGUCGUAUAAUCACAGAAAAAAAUUAAAAGGUGAAAAUCUCAUAUUCGGACUUAUCUUGUAAGUAGAGGUGAAGUUUUAACAGGUUAAUGAAAUAAGAAUUAUAAAUCCAGCAUGGGCUUGUGACAUC